Molecule: long non-coding RNA, 1834 nt
Filed under: Triticum aestivum (bread wheat)
Lineage: Eukaryota; Viridiplantae; Streptophyta; Magnoliopsida; Poales; Poaceae
Description: long non-coding RNA (TAES_LNC009035)
Source: RNAcentral
AACUAUAUUUUUAAGCAUAAUGUAUUACACACAUCUUAAUGCCAACUUUGGCAGACAUGUAUUUCAAAACUGUCUCACAUGCACAUAUGAAUCAAAAUGCAGUCACCCACAAGUAUCUACAACAUAGCAGCUUACAAAAUCCUCCAUGAAAUGAUAGUUUACAACAUAUAUCACUUGGGAAAGUUAAAAAACAGUACAAUCCAGUUCACACAAACAGAACAUUUAAACUAUUGAAGUUGCUAUUCAAGUUCUUGCAGCCGGCCCUCUUGAUGGAAGUUAUCAUGUCAGUGCAAAUUGUGAUGGGCAGCACCAAGUAGCCCGGUACGCAAUCAUACCUAGCAUAUUUACAACACCAUUAGAUAUUUGUAGAUAUGAAUAGAUUGUAAAAAUAAGAGAAUUGAAACAAAUAUAAAAAAUGAAUGACUCAUGCUGUCCAAAAUUCUUAAAUCUUGCACUGCUACAAGUGAGAAUAACAUAGUAUCUACUACAUACAUGUUUCAUGUAGAUCUGUAUUAAUUAAAACAACCAAGUUAUGGGUAAAAAAAUGAAAUGUCAAGUUGUGCAUAUCAUCCGAACAAGGAAAACAAAAACACUGGUCAAAGGGGGACAGUACAUACUGCAGUGCAAAAGAUUCAUUGAAUUAUCAUAUGUCCAGUCAUAUCCUUGAUGAUAAGUUAUUAAUAUAGAAGAAGGGAUAGUUAUGCGUUGUGAAAACAAACAACUACAUACUUCUACAGUUGUGUCCAGUAGUAUAUUAUUUUUCCAUCCUUGUAAGUAGGCAUGAAUCGACUUGUCAAUAUUUGGCGCAACAACACCUUUGGGUACCACCAAUUUGCAAAAAAUAGGUUACCCAACCCCAGAACCUUCCCUAUUAUAUAGAGCAUUACGAAAUUGGAUAUACCCUAAAGAACAAUAUCCACAUAUUGUUGACACUUGACAAUUGAAACUUAGACCAAAAAAGAUAUAUAGUGAAAAUAAAACCAGAAGGCUAUGAAGGAGACAGUAAUAGACCUAUCUAAGAAUGUGGACAUUUUGCCCAAGGAUGCAUGUCACUUGCAACCAUAAGAGAUCAUCAACAUACAGCUGAAGAAUUACUAUUUGACAAGAAUUAGCAUUUGACAGGAACAAUAAUAAAUAAAUUAACAAGUGGUGAUGCAAAAUUACGACCAACAGUUUCUGAGGUAAAACGAUGGCAGUGCAGCCUGGAGGAUCAACAUCAUAAGCUUCGCUUACAUGUAGCUAGGGCCACAUCAAUCUCAGCACCAACAUCCGAAGAUCCGCAGUCCCAUCAAAAUGUCCAACCUUAGGCUCCAAUCUGGGUGUUGAGAAAAUUGCAUACAAAAUCUGGGUGUCCAUGAGAUAGACCUAGGCAACGCAUCUGACAAAACUUAGCACACUGUUAAAACAACUUUUGACAGAGAAUUGACAACAUACAAGAAUUUCAUUUGAGCCCAAAGUGCAAUGACAUAUUAUUAUUUGCUGCAAACCAAGAUCGAAUAAGAACACUAAACUUUUCAAACCUGCAGAUUGUUACACUAUUUCAUUAUCUAUGUGUGCCUCUAAAUCUCUAAAGCUACAGAUUGUUACACCAUUUCAUUAUUUCAUUUUAGAGCCUCAAUAAUGUAGAAUGGAACAGCUUAUUCAGUGGUAAAUCUUGUGCCCCUCCCUCUAGCUCAGGGAGUAGCUUAUUCAGUGGUAAAACUGUGUGCCUCUCCCUCUGCCUCUCAACUUUUGUAGAUGGAAGAAAGUUACUUCUGAAUCUUGCCGUGGUAUGUUCAAUCAUAGAAGUUUCACAACACCAUAUACCAACAUAUAUUGUGAAAAUGUGCCUUGA